UUUUUCGCCUCGCUUCGGCUUUGCCAAUGGGCCAGUAGCUUUAGAAUUUGUACUAGAAAUUAGUUUUUUCUAAUACGAAGAACUUGCUGUUCUAUUAUUUUCUUCUCACAUUCUAAGUAGCCUUAUGUCAUUGUCGUGAGUUACAUUAAGAUCUGACGACGCAUUUCACCAAAGUAUUUGACUGCUUCGAAAUAUGGACGAACAACUAACAAGCAAUCAUCGAAGGCAAACCCAAGCAGAUUUUCGUGUACCUUUGACUUCUUCUACAGAGUUUUAAGACUUGGUGUAGUUUAUGGCUUUAUUUUUCGUGGAGUCUUACUGUCUUGUGUUCAAACAGUAGAUCCAGGUGGUCCUAUUGAAACAAUUAGUAAAGUUUUUCACUUUCAUGGAUUGGGAGGAAUGGGUUUAUGGCAACACCUUGUUCAAAAU
Xenia sp. Carnegie-2017 is the source of this 429-nucleotide long non-coding RNA. RefSeq lists it as uncharacterized. Lineage: Eukaryota; Metazoa; Cnidaria; Anthozoa; Malacalcyonacea; Xeniidae. The transcript is spliced from 3 exons. The record is from RefSeq and is a predicted model, not a curated record.